Molecule: ribosomal RNA, 737 nt
Filed under: uncultured Gammaproteobacteria bacterium
Lineage: Bacteria; Pseudomonadati; Pseudomonadota; Gammaproteobacteria
Description: bacterial SSU rRNA
Rfam family: Bacterial small subunit ribosomal RNA
Source: RNAcentral
UCAGAUUGACCGCUGGCGGUAGGCUUAACACAUGCAAGUCGUGCGAGAAAGUAUCUUCGGAUAUGAGUAGAGCGGCGGACGGGUGAGUAACGCGUAGGAAUCUACCUAGUAGAAGGGGAUAGCCCGGGGAAACCCGGAUUAAUACCGUAUACCUCCUUCGGGAGAAAGAAGGCCUCUCUUUGAAGCUUUCGCUACUAGAUGAGCCUGCGUAAGAUUAGCUUGUUGGUGAGGUAAAGGCUCACCAAGGCGACGAUCUUUAGCUGGUCUGAGAGGACGAUCAGCCACAUUGGGACUGAGACACGGCCCAGACUCCUACGGGAGGCAGCAGUGGGGAAUAUUGGACAAUGGGCGCAAGCCUGAUCCAGCCAUACCGCGUGUGUGAAGAAGGCCUUCGGGUUGUAAAGCACUUUAAGCAGGGAGAAAAAGUUAUAAGUUAAUACCUUAUAACCCUGAUGUUACCUGCAGAAUAAGCACCGGCUAAUUCCGUGCCAGCAGCCGCGGUAAUGCGGAAGGUGCAAGCGUUAAUCGGAAUUACUGGGCGUAAAGCGCGCGUAGGUGGUUUGUUAAGUUGGAUGUGAAAGCCCUGGGCUCAACCUAGGAACUGCAUCCAAAACUAACUCACUAGAGUACGAUAGAGGGAGGUAGAAUUCACAGUGUAGCGGUGGAAUGCGUAGAUAUUAUGAAGAAUACCAGUGGCGAAGGCGGCCUCCUGGAUCUGUACUGACACUGAGGUGCGA